CUUGUUGGAGAUUAGAAUAUAACAUUAGUAAACGGAUCGAGUAAUUACAAAUUAAACAUUGUUUGUAGCCACUAGCCUAGCUACAUGUCAUCCUAAGAAAAAUAAAAGGAAGGGUGUGAUCUAGCUCCGACAAGAGAAAAGAUCUUUAACUAACAUCUGAUACUCCACGAGCUGUGGCCAACACUAUGCGUACGCGAUUAUAUUUAUAGCUCCUGUAAGCGUGCUACGUCGUUCUUGAGUCGGCAAGGUGCCACAAGCAACUUUCUCUCCGCUUUUGGAAAAACUGCCUCAGCGCGGGCUUCGUUUCCUGACGUAGAAACAUAUUGCCUGCAAAAAGAAAGAAAAAAAACAGUCCAGCUGUGCUCCAGUCAAACAAAAAGAGAAGAACAAGUCACAAGUGUGUGUACUGGUACAUGUUUCUUACAAUUAAAGUACUCCAGUUUGAUGCGGAAGAAAAGUUAAGUUAGUUAACUAAAGAAUGGAGCUUUUUUACAGUUAUUGUAGAGGAUUCGAGGUGGAUCUAACACACUACGAGAGGGUUUAUUCACCUAUACCAACUACUUUGGUGUAGUUGAUUAGUUUCUUUUUAUUUCUACUUACUUAGUGCAAGCUUCCGGGCGGCAGAGCCACUCACGUUAAAGCAAGUUUUGAAUCCGGGCGGCUAUGCCACUCACGUUGAAACAAGACCGUUGUGAUUCCGGGCGAAUCCGCUCACGUUAAAUCACACUUAUAUGCACUAAGUAUUUAGAAAUAAUAAGGCCUAACCGGAAGACUUAUAUGAACAAAGUAGUACUAUAUUGCUUUAGAAAUAUUAGUACAAGACAGAGCAUACACACUUUACACUUGCUCACACCUUGUUCUCCAUCUUCUUCACUUUCUUAUUCUCUACUACACAAGGUGUGAGGCAAAAGUCUCUAUUUAUAGGACUACAUGGCCAUUGGAUCUUUGACAUGUGUCAAAAUCUUAGCCAUUGAUACAAAAUAUCUAAAGCCUUCCACACACUUCUACAUAAAUAU
RNAcentral lists this long non-coding RNA (1016 nucleotides) under Brachypodium distachyon (stiff brome). RNAcentral describes it as "long non-coding RNA (BDIS_LNC003133)". Lineage: Eukaryota; Viridiplantae; Streptophyta; Magnoliopsida; Poales; Poaceae. The record is from RNAcentral.